Molecule: transfer RNA, 87 nt
Filed under: Lysobacterales bacterium
Lineage: Bacteria; Pseudomonadati; Pseudomonadota; Gammaproteobacteria; Lysobacterales
Description: tRNA-Leu
Rfam family: tRNA
About the family: Transfer RNA (tRNA) molecules are approximately 80 nucleotides in length. Their secondary structure includes four short double-helical elements and three loops (D, anti-codon, and T loops).
Source: RNAcentral
GCCGGCGUGGCGGAAUUGGUAGACGCAGCGGAUUCAAAAUCCGCCGGCCUAAAAACCUUGUCGGUUCGAGUCCGACCGCCGGUACCA